CCUGGCUCAGGACGAACGCUGGCGGCGUGCCUAAUACAUGCAAGUCGAGCGGACCGACGGGAGCUUGCUCCCUUAGGUCAGCGGCGGACGGGUGAGUAACACGUGGGUAACCUGCCUGUAAGACUGGGAUAACUCCGGGAAACCGGGGCUAAUACCGGAUGCUUGUUUGAACCGCAUGGUUCAAACAUAAAAGGUGGCUUUUCGCUACCACUUACAGAUGGACCCGCGGCGCAUUAGCUAGUUGGUGGGGUAACGGCUCACCAAGGCGACGAUGCGUAGCCGACCUGAGAGGGUGAUCGGCCACACUGGGACUGAGACACGGCCCAGACUCCUACGGGAGGCAGCAGUAGGGAAUCUUCCGCAAUGGACGAAAGUCUGACGGAGCAACGCCGCGUGAGUGAUGAAGGUUUUCGGAUCGUAAAACUCUGUUGUUAGGGAAGAACAAGUACCGUUCGAACAGGGCGG
RNAcentral lists this ribosomal RNA (465 nucleotides) under Bacillus sp. (in: firmicutes). RNAcentral describes it as "bacterial SSU rRNA". It matches the Rfam family "Bacterial small subunit ribosomal RNA", at positions 18 to 475 of the family's 1533-position model. Lineage: Bacteria; Bacillati; Bacillota; Bacilli; Caryophanales; Bacillaceae. The record is from RNAcentral.